GACGAACGCUGGCGGCGUGCCUAACACAUGCAAGUCGAACGAGAAGUCCGGGUCUUGGGGCGCACGGGGGCGGAAGGCGUGGGAACCUGCACUUGGGUUCGGAAUACCUCCCCGAAAGGGGUGCUAAUAACAGAUAAUGUCUUAGGACCAAAGAUUUAUUGCCUUUGGGUGGGCCCGCGUUGGAUUCGGUAGUUGGUAGGGUAAAAGCAUACCAAGGCGACGAUGCAUAGCUGGUCUGGGAGGAGGACCAGCAACACUUGGACUGAGACACGGCCCAGACUCCUACGCGAGGCAGCAGAGGGGAACAUAGGACAAUGGGCGAAAGCCUGAUCCAGCAAUGCCGGGGGAGUGAUGAUUGCCUUUGGGUUCUAAUGUUCUUUUACCCGGGAUGAUAGUGACGGUACCGGGAGAAUAAGCACCGGCUAACUCCGUG
Molecule: ribosomal RNA, 433 nt
Filed under: uncultured bacterium
Lineage: Bacteria
Description: partial 16S ribosomal RNA
Rfam family: Bacterial small subunit ribosomal RNA
Source: RNAcentral